GACGAACGCUGGCGGCGUGCUUAACACAUGCAAGUCGAACGGAAAGGCCCUGCUUUUGUGGGGUGCUCGAGUGGCGAACGGGUGAGUAACACGUGAGUAACCUGCCCUUGACUUUGGGAUAACUUCAGGAAACUGGGGCUAAUACCGGAUAGGAGCUCCUGCUGCAUGGUGGGGGUUGGAAAGUUUCGGCGGUUGGGGAUGGACUCGCGGCUUAUCAGCUUGUUGGUGGGGUAGUGGCUUACCAAGGCUUUGACGGGUAGCCGGCCUGAGAGGGUGACCGGCCACAUUGGGACUGAGAUACGGCCCAGACUCCUACGGGAGGCAGCAGUGGGGAAUAUUGCACAAUGGGCGGAAGCCUGAUGCAGCAACGCCGCGUGCGGGAUGACGGUCUUCGGGUUGUAAACCGCUUUCGCCUGUGACGAAGCGUGAGUGACGGUAAUGGGGAAAGAAGCACCGGCUAACUACGU
RNAcentral lists this ribosomal RNA (467 nucleotides) under uncultured bacterium. RNAcentral's name for it is "partial 16S ribosomal RNA". It matches the Rfam family "Bacterial small subunit ribosomal RNA", at positions 28 to 506 of the family's 1533-position model. The record is from RNAcentral.